UAGAUAGAUGCUCACUGGCUUGAGCGCUUAGCUGUUAACUAAGACUUUAUAGGAUCGAGGCCUUUCUAUCUAG
This 73-nucleotide transfer RNA is filed under the name Fluviphylax pygmaeus. RNAcentral's name for it is "tRNA-Asn". The record is from RNAcentral. Lineage: Eukaryota; Metazoa; Chordata; Actinopteri; Cyprinodontiformes; Fluviphylacidae.